UACGGAGGGGGCUAGCGUUGUUCGGAAUUACUGGGCGUAAAGCGCGCGUAGGCGGCUUUGUAAGUUAGAGGUGAAAGCCCGGAGCUCAACUCCGGAAUUGCCUUUAAGACUGCAUCGCUAGAAUCAUGGAGAGGUGAGUGGAAUUCCGAGUGUAGAGGUGAAAUUCGUAGAUAUUCGGAAGAACACCGGUGGCGAAGGCGGCUAUCUGGACAGAAACUGACGCUGAGGCGCGAAAGCUAGGGGAGCAAACAGG
This 253-nucleotide ribosomal RNA is filed under the name uncultured bacterium. RNAcentral describes it as "partial 16S ribosomal RNA". It matches the Rfam family "Bacterial small subunit ribosomal RNA", at positions 524 to 776 of the family's 1533-position model. The record is from RNAcentral.